UUGUGUGGAUUUCCAGGGGUAGUUUUGUGACCCUGGUGGUAGUGUGACCCUUCUUCUGUACCAUGAGCCUAAAGAAACACUCAUCAUAACCCGACUGAUCUCCCAUUUGGCCUUUGGAAAUAGUUAAUGUGAGAGGCGGAAGCGUUUGACAAUACCAACCUUUGUGACGAAUUGGAGAACACCAUCAUGCUACAAAUCACUACAGUGCGGUGGUUAUCAUUAGCGAGGAAUACAUGAGCGGGAGUGGUGUGGACGGUGAGUAACAAAACAGUCCCCUCAUAAAGGAGCUCAAUGAUUAAGUGGUAGAAAACUGACCUCGUGCCACCACAUUGCCAUCUGGCGGUAUACUGGACAAGGCAACUCAAGACCAUGUGGCUCAGUUGGGGUUGGCUUUGUGACGGAGCAGGACCGAGUGACGUGCCUAAGGACCGAUUUUUUAUAUAUACCUUUAGGCCCACGCCACCCGACACUCGCGGGGGAUCGUAGUGCACCUCUUCGCGGACACGUGACAACCACACAGCCGACGGUCCCCUCUUCUGCCACGCCAAACAGGGAGACAGAAGUGAGGGGAGGAUCCUGCGGAGGUCCUCACAAAGAGCCACCAUUGAGAGAAGAGCUAAAUGUGCUGCCUAAGAAGACACAUUUCAGCUGACCAUACAAUGUACUGGAACACUGAUGCUGUGUGAUGACUGACAGAAACAAACACCAUGAACAGAAUCCAGACUGUUUCCAGGUGAAGACUCAGGCGAUGGAGAAAGGUUCUUGAGUGCAUGGAUGGCCGAGUGGAAGGCCUCCAGGUAGUAGGAGGCUUCUCCUGAUGAAGCGCUGGGGAGGAGGAGGCCCCACAUGUAGUCUGCUUCAACC
Molecule: long non-coding RNA, 864 nt
Organism: Eriocheir sinensis (Chinese mitten crab)
Lineage: Eukaryota; Metazoa; Arthropoda; Malacostraca; Decapoda; Varunidae
Exons: 3
Source: RefSeq, a predicted model, not a curated record